GACGAACGCUGGCGGCGUGCCUAAUACAUGCAAGUCGAGCGCAGGAAGCUGACGGAACUCUUCGGAGAGAAGGCAGUGGAAUGAGCGGCGGACGGGUGAGUAACACGUAAGGAACCUGCCUCAAGGAUUGGGAUAACUCCGAGAAAUCGGAGCUAAUACCGGAUAGUUCAACGGACCGCAUGGUCCGCUGAUGAAAGGCGCUUCGGCGUCACCUUGAGAUGGCCUUGCGGUGCAUUAGCUAGUUGGUGGGGUAACGGCCCACCAAGGCGACGAUGCAUAGCCGAACUGGGAGGGUGAUCGGCCACACUGGGACUGAGACACGGCCCAGACUCCUACGGGAGGCAGCAGUAGGGAAUCUUCCACAAUGGACGAAAGUCUGAUGGAGCAACGCCGCGUGAGUGAUGAAGGUUUUCGGAUCGUAAAACUCUGUUGUAAGGGAAGAACACGUACGAGAGGGAAUGCUCGUACCUUGACGGUACCUUACGAGAAAGCCACGGCUAACUACGUGCCAGCCGCCGCGGUAA
RNAcentral lists this ribosomal RNA (524 nucleotides) under uncultured bacterium. Its description in RNAcentral is "partial 16S ribosomal RNA". It matches the Rfam family "Bacterial small subunit ribosomal RNA", at positions 28 to 523 of the family's 1533-position model. The record is from RNAcentral.